Mustela erminea (ermine) is the source of this 2379-nucleotide long non-coding RNA. RefSeq lists it as uncharacterized. NCBI's taxonomy places the organism in Eukaryota, Metazoa, Chordata, Mammalia, Carnivora, Mustelidae. The record is from RefSeq and is a predicted model, not a curated record. The transcript is spliced from 2 exons.
UAAUUUUUUUUUUUUUUUUUUUUUUUUUUUUUUAGAAGCAGUGUCAUUCUAUUUUGUGUUUAUGUAUCUUAUAGGAUUUCUGUUUCUGUUGGAAUAAUAGGAUUCAUUGAAAUCUCUAUAAUGUGUAUGGUAGAAAAUAUCUUGUGAACUUGAAAUUUCACCAGUUAUAUUUAUAGAAGAAUAAAAAUGGAAGAUGUUUUUAGGCCUUUUUGAACUUCAGCAUUAAUGCCAGUGCACACUUGAACUUCAUUAUCUGUGAAAACGCACAGAGAAUUAGUAUACGUCUAUCUAAAAGUUAAAGAACAAGUAAAGGGUCUUUGUUAUUUGUGUUUAAUAUAAAGAUAGAAUUGAGGAGUAAACUUCAGAUUUUAUUUAAAAUGAAGCAGGGUAUUUAAAAUUAUAUUAAUCAUUUCUGUGAAACUUUGGGAGUAAAGAGCAGAGUGUAUAUCCUCUGGUAGUGAUAGUAUCGGAAUCAAAGAUCUUACUUUUCCCCCCUAUUAAAAAAAGUAGUUCAUGAACAUGUAAAGAAAAAAACUAUUCAAACAGUACCAAAGAGUGGAUAGUGAAAGUAGUUUUCUUCUUCACCCUAGCUUGUCUUAUUUUCUUAUUUCAGUUAGAAAUGUCUUUGUGUUUUUGUAAUUUUCUGUGCAUAUGGAAAGAAGUAUAGCUCCCUUAUUUUAGCACGAAUUGGAGUUUGCUACAUAUACUGUUCUUCAUUCUGCUUUUCAAAUCUUUUUUGAUACAGAGCUAAAUGGAUAAGCAUUAAAGAUUGCAUCCUCCUGGUCCAAUAAAGUAUAAUUAGCAUUACCUUAAAUAUGUCUUUUCCACCUAGUGUUAUUGAAUAGUAAGUGAGUAAGCUCAAGACAUGUUUACAGAGCUACAGAUUACAGUCUCAUACAUACUUAUAUAAGAUGUUAACUGAUUGAUUUAAAAAAUCUGAAUCAAAAUUUUCCUUUAAACUUACAUUUUAGGGAAACAAGAAAAUUCAGACCUUUACUAUAUUUCUUGUUGGCCCUUUUGCUCUGCUUUUCUGGGACUGAGCUGUAGUAUGAGAGAAACAGUGCUCUUUCUUCUUUACAUCUUCCCUAUUACUGUAUAUCAGUUUUCAUUUUACAGCACCUUUGGUUAUAUAUGUGUAGAUUCUGGCCAAGAUUAAUUCAGAGCUGUAACACUGAUUUGAUACCAGGCUGCAUGAGUGUGGUACAUUGGAAAAGAGACCAGUGACUGAAAUUUUUAUUCUGGUUCUACAAAUUGAUAAUAGAACUCCUUCAACUUUUAUUUUUUGUUGUUAUUAUUAAAACAUGGAAGAUACAGUUGUAUAAUCCUCGACAAAUUCUUUGUAUUUUCUGGACCUUAAUUCACUUUACAUAGAAGGUGAUAUAUGGAUUAACAAUGCAGUUUUUGUGAUUUUUUAGAAUUGAUUCAUUUGUGAUAGUAAAGGUGUUUUCUGAGGUCUCCGUUUUAAUAGGCAGAGCUUUGAUCAAUUGGGAAAUAUUAAUGGACAGAAAUAAAGUAGAUAAUGGUUCUCUAGUUUGCCUACUCUUCAGUAAGCCGGUUUUCACAACUUAAUCUUUACCCAUUAGUAAGUGGCAUAUACUGCAACUGAUCACCUUCCUGUCUGCCUUCUUUUUUUAUAAAAAAGAACAAUCCAGUAUUGUUAAGGUCCACCAAUAUAAUUUUUUGGUUUGUUUUCAAAGCUACUUGAACAAAUUGAAAUAACUGUUCUUGUAGUUAUUUGUAGAAAUAGCUUCAGAAAUAAUAUGAAGUAUAGGGAUAAUAGGCUAUUAUAUUGUUUAUUUAUUUAUUUUCUACAGAGAAGUCCUAGAGAAUAUAUCUACAAAAUAGAAACUUCCUUCAUUCAGAUAAUCAUAAAGAUGGUACCAGAGAGCAGUGGGAGGGGCAGAAGGAGAAUCAGCUUGCCUGCUGAGCAGGACUCUGGGAUCAUGACCUGAGCUGAAGCAGAUGCCUAAUGGACUGAACCACCCUGGCCAUGGCAGAUUUGUCAGCAAGAAGUUAUGUGAAACUCUCAUAGCAAAACCUAAAAAUAAGUACUUUGUUUUUGUAAUUAGGCCCAUAUCACAUUUAAGCUGACCUUAAGAAUUUUUAGAUCUGUAGGAAGGUCUGUAGACUUGAGUGAAAAAGGAUUUCUGCUAUUCUUUGUUGAUGAGUCCUCGAUAUUGUUCAUUCCUCUUCCAUAGUAUUUAUUUAUCAGCAUACCGGCACUUUAUUGUAAUGUGCUUGGUCUUAAUAGAAUCUUAACAGAAAUAAAUUCAAGUCUGUGGUUGUCUGUGGUACUCUCCAUGCCAUAACCCAGUUUAACUGAUGCACUUGGAACUUGGAGCUGAAUUAAAUGAAUUAAAUAACACCUAUUCAGUUUCA